GGGCGAAAGCCUGAUCCAGCCAUUCCGCGUGAGUGAAGAAGGCCUUCGGGUUGUAAAGCUCUUUCGCAAGGGAAGAAAACUUAUCCUCUAACAUAGGGUGAGGUUGACGGUACCUUGAUAAGAAGCACCGGCUAANUANGUGCCAGCAGCCGCGGUAAUACGUAGGGUGCGAGCGUUAAUCGGAAUUACUGGGCGUAAAGCGUGCGCAGGCGGUUUUGUAAGUCAGAUGUGAAAUCCCCGAGCUCAACUUGGGAACUGCGUUUGAAACUAUAAGACUAGAAUAUGUCAGAGGGGGGUAGAAUUCCACGUGUAGCAGUGAAAUGCGUAGAGAUGUGGAGGAAUACCAAUGGCGAAGGCAGCCCCCUGGGAUAAUAUUGACGCUCAUGCACGAAAGCGUGGGGAGCAAACAGGAUUAGAUACCCUGGUAGUCCACGCCCUAAACGAUGUCUACUAGUUGUUGGUGGAGUAAAAUCCAUGAGUAACG
Molecule: ribosomal RNA, 484 nt
Filed under: uncultured bacterium
Lineage: Bacteria
Description: bacterial SSU rRNA
Rfam family: Bacterial small subunit ribosomal RNA
Source: RNAcentral